This 326-nucleotide ribosomal RNA is filed under the name uncultured bacterium. RNAcentral's name for it is "bacterial SSU rRNA". It matches the Rfam family "Bacterial small subunit ribosomal RNA", at positions 27 to 334 of the family's 1533-position model. The record is from RNAcentral.
GAACGAACGCUGGCGGCGUGCUUAACACAUGCAAGUCGAGCGGGAAAGUUUCCUUCGGGAAGCGAGUACAGCGGCAGACGGGUGAGUACAACGUAGGUAACCUACCCUCGAGACCGGGAUAACCUGUCGAAAGACGGGCUAAUACCGGAUAAGACCACAAGGGCUGCGGCCUUUGAGGUAAAAGAUGGCCUCUGCUUGCAAGCUAUCACGUUGGGGAUGGGCCUGCGCGCCAUUAGCAGUUGGUGAGGUAACGGCUCACCAAGGCAAAGAUGGCUAGCUGGUCUGAGAGGAUGGCCCAGCCACACUGGGACUGAGACACGGCCCAG